AGGGGGGGAGGGAAAAAGAAAACAGUUCAGCAAUUAAGUUCAUUUUUUUUUUAUUGGAAAAUUGGAAAGGCAGGGUUUGGGGGGUCAAUUUUUUUUAGUAUGGGAAAUUUAAUGUUUUAAUUCCUUUUUAAAUGAGGGCCUUUACCCCUUAGAGGGAGCCGGGCCCGUUAUAACGUUAAUGAUUACUAGAUGAGGUUUCCAAAGAGUUGUGUUGCUUGAUAGUGCAGCACUUAAGUGGGUGGUAAACUCCAUUUAAAACUAAAUAUAACCAUGAGACCGAUAGUAAACAAGUACCGUGAGGGAAAGUUGAAAAGAACUCUGAAUAGAGAGUUAAACAGUACGUGAAACUGCUUAGAGGUUAAGCCCGAUGAACCUGAAUAUCCGUUAUGGAAAAUUCAUCAUUAAAAUUGUAAUAUUUAAAUAAUAUUAUUAAGAAUAAUGUGCAUUUUUUCCAUAUAAGGACAUUGUAAUCUAUUAGCAUAUCCCAAAUUUAUCAUAAAAUAUAACUUAUAGUUUAUUCCAAUUAAAUUGCUUGCAUUUUAACACAGAAUAAAUGUUAUUAAUUUGAUAAAGUGCUGAUAGAUUUAUAUUAUUACAGAGCGUUAAUUUUUCGGAAUUAUAUAAUGGCAUAAUUAUCAUUGAUUUUUGUGUUUAUUAUAUGCUCUUGUAUGAUUAACAAUGCGAAAGAUUCAGGAUACCUUCGGGACCCGUCUUGAAACACGGACCAAGGAGUCUAACAUAUGUGCAAGUUAUUGGGAUGUAAACCUAAUAGCGUAAUUAACUUGACUAAUAAUGGGAUUAGUUUUUUAGCUAUUUAUAGCUAAUUAACACAAUCCCGGGGCGUUCUAUAUAGUUAUGUAUAAUGUAUAUUUAUAUUAUUUAUGCCUCUAACUGGAACGUACCUUGAGCAUAUAUGCUGUGACCCGAAAGAUGGUGAACUAUACUUGAUCAGGUUGAAGUCAGGGGAAACCCUGAUGGAAGACCGAAACAGUUCUGACGUGCAAAUCGAUUGUCAGAAUUGAGUAUAGGGGCGAAAGACCAAUCGAACCAUGUAGUAGCUGGUUCCUUCCGAAGUUUCCCUCAGGAUAGAUGGUGCAUUUUAAUAUUAUAUAAAAUAAUCUUAUCUGGUAAAGCGAAUUCCACC
This 1144-nucleotide non-coding RNA is filed under the name Drosophila simulans. Its description in RNAcentral is "Eukaryotic large subunit ribosomal RNA". It matches the Rfam family "Eukaryotic large subunit ribosomal RNA", at positions 82 to 1024 of the family's 3401-position model. The record is from Rfam by way of RNAcentral. Lineage: Eukaryota; Metazoa; Arthropoda; Insecta; Diptera; Drosophilidae.